Non-coding RNA from Oryza meridionalis, 203 nucleotides. Lineage: Eukaryota; Viridiplantae; Streptophyta; Magnoliopsida; Poales; Poaceae. The record is from Rfam.
UUUAAACGCAACCAUAAGUUUCCGUGUCCAACUUUAAUCAUCUGUAUUAUUAAAAAAAUUUUAGAUUAGUAUUUUUAUUAUUAUAUCAGAUGAUAAAACAUGAAUAGAAUUUUAUGCGUGACUUAUAUUUUUAUUUUUUCGAAACAAUUUCAAAUAAGACGGACGAUCAAAUCUGGAUAUGGAAACUAAUGACUACCUUAGAA